RNAcentral lists this ribosomal RNA (660 nucleotides) under Pichia kudriavzevii. RNAcentral describes it as "eukaryotic LSU rRNA". The stretch from base 92 to 660 matches the Rfam family "Eukaryotic large subunit ribosomal RNA", at positions 1 to 636 of the family's 3401-position model. The record is from RNAcentral. Lineage: Eukaryota; Fungi; Ascomycota; Pichiomycetes; Pichiales; Pichiaceae.
CUGAAAGGGAGCGAAGCUGGCCGAGCGAACUAGACUUUUUUUCAGGGACGCUUGGCGGCCGAGAGCGAGUGUUGCGAGACAACAAAAAGCUCGACCUCAAAUCAGGUAGGAAUACCCGCUGAACUUAAGCAUAUCAAUAAGCGGAGGAAAAGAAACCAACAGGGAUUGCCUCAGUAGCGGCGAGUGAAGCGGCAAGAGCUCAGAUUUGAAAUCGUGCUUUGCGGCACGAGUUGUAGAUUGCAGGUUGGAGUCUGUGUGGAAGGCGGUGUCCAAGUCCCUUGGAACAGGGCGCCCAGGAGGGUGAGAGCCCCGUGGGAUGCCGGCGGAAGCAGUGAGGCCCUUCUGACGAGUCGAGUUGUUUGGGAAUGCAGCUCCAAGCGGGUGGUAAAUUCCAUCUAAGGCUAAAUACUGGCGAGAGACCGAUAGCGAACAAGUACUGUGAAGGAAAGAUGAAAAGCACUUUGAAAAGAGAGUGAAACAGCACGUGAAAUUGUUGAAAGGGAAGGGUAUUGCGCCCGACAUGGGGAUUGCGCACCGCUGCCUCUCGUGGGCGGCGCUCUGGGCUUUCCCUGGGCCAGCAUCGGUUCUUGCUGCAGGAGAAGGGGUUCUGGAACGUGGCUCUUCGGAGUGUUAUAGCCAGGGCCAGAUGCUGCGUGCGGG